AUAAAAGCUAUGAAGAGAAGAGUAGUUAUGAGGGAAUACUCAGAGAGUUUCCAUUUGGUGUGAGGAAAUUAUGAAAUCAUAAUGAAACAAGUCUCGGAGCUGCAUACGGAUCUUAUAAAGUAAAACUUUUUAGGUGGAAUUUUAUUUUCGCUGAAUUUAGUUUGAAUUAUCUUAGAGAGUGCAACCUAUAACUCGCAUUUGAAGAAGAUGUGAUGUUACUUAUGCCUAAAUAUAAGAUAAAAAUUAAUUAUAAGUGAUGCUAUGACGUAAGUUCACGUUACAGAACCAGAGUAUGAUUUAACCUAUAAUUUUAGGGAGAUGGUGUACUUGAAGAGCCUAAAAUGGUGACAUUUUAGGGAAAAGGGUGGCAUCGCGAAAUAGAAGUUUCGCCCCUGUA
RNAcentral lists this non-coding RNA (397 nucleotides) under Clostridium beijerinckii. RNAcentral describes it as "T-box sequence". It matches the Rfam family "T-box leader". Rfam says of the family: Uncharged tRNA acts as the effector for transcription antitermination of genes in the T-box leader family. T-boxes are found upstream of many aminoacyl-tRNA synthetase genes and some amino acid biosynthetic genes usually in Gram-positive bacteria. The record is from RNAcentral. Lineage: Bacteria; Bacillati; Bacillota; Clostridia; Eubacteriales; Clostridiaceae.